UUUAAUUCGAUGCAACGCGAAGAACCUUACCUGGUCUUGACAUCCACGGAAGUUUUCAGAGAUGAGAAUGUGCCUUCGGGAACCGUGAGACAGGUGCUGCAUGGCUGUCGUCAGCUCGUGUUGUGAAAUGUUGGGUUAAGUCCCGCAACGAGCGCAACCCUUAUCCUUUGUUGCCAGCGGUCCGGCCGGGAACUCAAAGGAGACUGCCAGUGAUAAACUGGAGGAAGGUGGGGAUGACGUCAAGUCAUCAUGGCCCUUACGACCAGGGCUACACACGUGCUACAAUGGCGCAUACAAAGAGAAGCGACCUCGCGAGAGCAAGCGGACCUCAUAAAGUGCGUCGUAGUCCGGAUUGGAGUCUGCAACUCAACUCCAUGAAGUCGGAAUCGCUAGUAAUCGUGGAUCAGAAUGCCA
Molecule: ribosomal RNA, 414 nt
Filed under: uncultured bacterium
Lineage: Bacteria
Description: bacterial SSU rRNA
Rfam family: Bacterial small subunit ribosomal RNA
Source: RNAcentral